CUGCAUUCAUGACCUUGCCCGAGAGGGUUGGGUAAUCUUCUCAAAGUGCAUCGUGAUGGGGAUAGAUUAUUGCAAUUAUUAAUCUUGAACGAGGAAUUCCUAGUAAGCGCGAGUCAUCAGCUCGUGCUGAUUACGUCCCUGCCCUUUGUACACACCGCCCGUCGCUCCUACCGAUUGGGUUUCCGGGAAUACUCGAC
RNAcentral lists this ribosomal RNA (197 nucleotides) under Amyloodinium ocellatum. RNAcentral's name for it is "partial small subunit ribosomal RNA". It matches the Rfam family "Eukaryotic small subunit ribosomal RNA", at positions 1521 to 1711 of the family's 1831-position model. The record is from RNAcentral. Lineage: Eukaryota; Dinophyceae; Thoracosphaerales; Thoracosphaeraceae.